AGUGGUUACAUCAGCUGACCUGUAGAAUAUCUACCCUCUUGUGGACUCUAGACGCCGGAGACUGAGCCAGGGUCAAGGCUGAGACUCCUGGACAGCAGCUGGGAAGCCUCUGUGGUGUCGAUCGCUUUCAAGCCCGCACUCUGGACUGAAAGACAAAAACAAAGUCCAGCCAAGCAGCUUGAUCUGUUCCUUGGUUUGCUAGUUUUGUGCUCCAGGUUCUGGCGACAACUGUACCCACGUCAGGGUCUGAGGGUUUUCAAGGUGCGUGCACACCAGGAUGCUCACACCAUGGAAACGGGCGCUUCCCGUUGCUCUGGGGAAACAGUUGAGUUAGGAAAACAUUUUAAACCAGACAUCAGGCCUUGAAGCCAUAAAAGAAGUGAUCAGUUAGACCUACCAAAAAGUGAACUUUCGUGUCAGAAGACUACCACCACGUCAAAACAAAAGACACACUGGAAACAAACUCUGAAACACGAUGGGGAAGUUUACUGUUAAAAUUUAGAAUUAGAAUUUUACUGUUAAAUUCUAUUAUUAUAUAUGAUUUGGAAAGACAUUCGGAAAGUCUGUGAUUAAGAUGGCAACAGAAAAAAAAGGCAAAUGACAUGGACAGGCAUGUGGAAUAAAAACUGCACAUAUGCAGUACGAGACCUAUAACCCUCAUGAACUCCAAGCCAUGCCAAUGGCAUAUUUUGACUUGGAAAGGCACAUAUAAAUCCAAAUGUUUGAUUUUUGCCAUCAGGGAAUUGGGUAAACAGGUAUUCCAUAUACUCUUACUAGACAUGCAAAUUAGUUUGAGGCUUUCCUAUAAUAAUUUCAAAUCUUCCUCUCAACUGUUCUGGUAAGUCCGAUUCUAGGAAUGAGCCUUAGAAACUCACACGACUGCAUUAACAAGAAUAUGUAAGCUGUAGCAAUUGUUUGUAAUGGUAAAAGGUUAGAAUUGACCCAAAUAUUUAUUAUUGCAUAAUUAUAGUGAAAAUAAAUAUUGUGAAACUAGUCAUUUACCUCAGAGACAGACUUCCAUUUACUGACAUGAAAAGGCUUAAGUGACUUUCAGAUUGGCAAAGAUCCCACUUUUUCUAUAAGAACAUAUUUUCACGUAUUUUACCCAUGAAACAAUUUUGGAGUAGGUGUCCCUAGACUUCUUGUAUUGCUGCCACCAAGGUGGGAGGAAAGUGUGUGGGGAGGAUGAGGGAUUUUACUGUUAAAAUUCUAUAUUUCUUUUUUAUACCAAGAGCAUAUUACUUUUCAAAUCAGAAAAACAAUGCUAUAAAAAGUGAAGACAAAAUGGGUGCUUGUGGCAAAGUCAGGAUUACCCGCAGCCGGCCACCCAUUGUCUG
RNAcentral lists this long non-coding RNA (1337 nucleotides) under Marmota monax (woodchuck). Lineage: Eukaryota; Metazoa; Chordata; Mammalia; Rodentia; Sciuridae. The record is from RNAcentral.